AUUGAACGCUGGCGGAAUGCUUUACACAUGCAAGUCGAACGGCAGCACGGGGCAACCUGGUGGCGAGUGGCGAACGGGUGAGUAAUACAUCGGAACGUGCCCAGUCGUGGGGGAUAACGUAGCGAAAGUUACGCUAAUACCGCAUACGAUCUAAGGAUGAAAGCGGGGGAUCGCAAGACCUCGCGCGAUUGGAGCGGCCGAUGUCAGAUUAGGUAGUUGGUGGGGUAAAGGCCCACCAAGCCGACGAUCUGUAGCUGGUCUGAGAGGACGACCAGCCACACUGGGACUGAGACACAGCCCAGACUCCUACGGGAGGCAGCAGUGGGGAAUUUUGGACAAUGGGCGCAAGCCUGAUCCAGCCAUUCCGCGUGCAGGAUGAAGGCCUUCGGGUUGUAAACUGCUUUUGUACGGAGCGAAAAGGCUCUCUCUAAUACAGGGGGCUCAUGACGGUACCGUAAGAAUAAGCACCGGCUAACUACGUGCCAGCCGCCGCUGUAA
Molecule: ribosomal RNA, 498 nt
Filed under: uncultured bacterium
Lineage: Bacteria
Description: partial 16S ribosomal RNA
Rfam family: Bacterial small subunit ribosomal RNA
Source: RNAcentral